This is a long non-coding RNA of Amblyraja radiata (thorny skate), 1289 nucleotides long. RefSeq lists it as uncharacterized. The record is from RefSeq and is a predicted model, not a curated record. Lineage: Eukaryota; Metazoa; Chordata; Chondrichthyes; Rajiformes; Rajidae. The transcript is spliced from 3 exons.
CUAUAGGAUCGUUGAAUGCCAGCAGCCUCCUCAGGUAUUGGACUGAGACGGACUUGGAGCCGCUCCCAGCGGGCUGGAUUCAGAGGCGUUACCCGUGGGGCGGAACUGUUUACAGUUGCCAUUCUCCGCUCGCUGCCAUGUACUGUUGGGGUCUCGGUUGUUCUUCUGUCCAUUUACCGCCUCGCACUAGCGACUGCCUUGAUCCUGGAUGCACAAUGCUGAUGCUCUUUGACAGAUGGUACAAUAACUCAGUGACAUCACUUAGAGCAAAAAGCUUAGUAUAAAAGGCGGUGUACAGCCAGACAUCCGGUAGACCAGAGCUUGUGCUGAAUUCCACUUCAUCGUGCAGGACGGCAUUGGGAUAUUCUGCCAAUAAUGUGAAGUCGUCGUGUCAUCUUCUCGGGAAGAACAUUUGGAAUUGCACGCUGCCCUCAUUUGAAGCAAGUAUAAUUCUUUCCCCAUGCUGGAUAUGAUUAUUCGACUGAACAGAUUAACUCCUAGUUACUUCCGAUUAUUACAGAUGCAGCUUGCGGGUGAGGCCGUGGUCCACAGUACUGACCGACUCAUCAACCUAUCUGCGCUGCUCCUUGCCAUGAUGGGGGUUGGUCUGUCUUCCUAUAGUGUUAGGAGGAUGACCGUGAAAAGAGACUCUCCGACAAGCAGCUGAAACCGUUACAGACUAGGGGACAAGGACCCAAGCAGACAAUCUGCAACAACAUGUAUACUGGACCGAUACCCACGUAACAUGGCUCCUUUGUGGUAUUCUGUACAGAUAGAGGGGAAAAACCAGGGAAAUUGCUGAGAAAGCGAAUGACUGAUGCAGCUUCAGAAUGGGAUCAGUGGCACAAUGAGAGUCUUUCAUGUGGACUUGAUAAGUGAGAGAAUGUUGAUGACGUCCAGUGGAAGGUCUCACUGCAAGAAAUCACUUAAAGUCAUUGUUUUAACAGCAAGUUGCAAACUCAAGAAGUGUUUGACGUCAUUUGUAAUAAGGACUCUGAGACCUGUGUGUCCGAACAAUUGUGAUUUAAGGGCGUACCAAUGUAGUGCAUCAACUUGUUCAGGCCUUGGUUCGAUCUGAGCACUUCAGCUCCCUGUAUGCUGUAUCCUGGAUUUACAUAUUUUUUCUACAGUGUUUACGAAUGGUUCAAAAUAUAAUGGUCAAAGUGUGGAGAAUGGAUGCAGUAUCAAUGGGGGGUGAGCCUAAUGAGCAGGGGCUUCCCUGCUACCACUGGUACAUCACAGUAAGAGAUGGGCAUUCAUGGACAAUGAAGAGAUUCACAUUUGCUCAU